RNAcentral lists this ribosomal RNA (230 nucleotides) under uncultured Alicycliphilus sp. Its description in RNAcentral is "partial 16S ribosomal RNA". It matches the Rfam family "Bacterial small subunit ribosomal RNA", at positions 553 to 774 of the family's 1533-position model. Lineage: Bacteria; Pseudomonadati; Pseudomonadota; Betaproteobacteria; Burkholderiales; Comamonadaceae. The record is from RNAcentral.
AGAUCUGCACUGGGCGUAAAGCGUGCGCAGGCGGUUUUGUAAGACAGAGGUGAAAUCCCCGGGCUCAACCUGGGAACUGCCUUUGUGACUGCAAGGCUGGAGUGCGGCAAAGGGGGAUGGAAUUCCGCGUGUAGCAGUGAAAUGCGUAGAUAUGCGGAGGAACACCGAUGGCGAAGGCAAUCCCCUGGGCCUGCACUGACGCUCAUGCACGAAAGCGUGGGGAGCAAACA